This 215-nucleotide small RNA is filed under the name Arabidopsis thaliana (thale cress). RNAcentral describes it as "ATSL226540". The record is from RNAcentral. Lineage: Eukaryota; Viridiplantae; Streptophyta; Magnoliopsida; Brassicales; Brassicaceae.
UUGUAAAACAGUGGAUUAAGGUACUAGGACCUACCUACUGUAAGUGAAGUUUUGUUUUUCAAAGUCCUUUGAUUUGAGUGUGAUCUAUACAUGUGAAAACUCGGAUUUAUCUAACCCUUGUAAACUGUUGAUAACACAUAAGGAUUCUUUGCAUAUUCUUAGCAUUGACCGGUUUGGGAAAGCUUUGUUGGAAGCAUGGUUGUAAGAGAGGUCAG